Molecule: ribosomal RNA, 619 nt
Filed under: uncultured bacterium
Lineage: Bacteria
Description: bacterial SSU rRNA
Rfam family: Bacterial small subunit ribosomal RNA
Source: RNAcentral
AACGAACGCUGGCGGCGCGCCUAACACAUGCAAGUCGAACGAGAAUCCGGGGCAACUCGGUAGUAAAGUGGCAAACGGGUGAGGAAUACAUGGGUAACCUACCCUUGAGAAGGGAAUAACCCGCCGAAAGGUGAGCUAAUACCCUAUACGCUUUGUUCUUCAUGGAAAGCAAAGGAAAGUCAAGCCGAGGGCUUGGCACUCAAGGAGGGGCUCAUGUCCUAUCAGCUUGUUGGUGGGGUAACGGCCUACCAAGGCUACGACGGGUAGCUGGUCUGAGAGGAUGAUCAGCCACACUGGCACUGAGAUACGGGCCAGACUCCUACGGGAGGCAGCAGUGAGGAAUAUUGCGCAAUGGGCGAAAGCCUGACGCAGCGACGCCGCGUGGGGGAUGAAGGUUUUCGGAUUGUAAACCCCUUUUGUGAGGAAAGAUAAAGUGGGUAACCACUUAGACGGUACCUCAAGAAAAAGCCACGGCUAACUUCGUGCCAGCAGCCGCGGUAAUACGAAGGCUCCAAGCGUUGUUCGGAAUUACUGGGCGUAAAGCGAGUGUAGGCGGUCCGUCAAGUCGGUUGUGAAAUCUCCUGGCUCAACUGGGAGGGUGCAAUCGAAACUGGCGGAC